ACAUGUUGCAUGGCCCACGCAGCCCACAGCUGGACUCCUGGCGUGUGGAAGCACUCCAGCAAGGGAAAGAAGGGAUUGAACGACCUACGGGACAUGCGAUAUUUUCAUCUAUGGACAUCAAGCCGGCUUUCCCAUUCGUCACUCUUACCAACUGCUCCAAAAGGUACGACCUGAGUUCAGGGCAGAGAGUCCAAGCGUCCUUUCCCCGUGACGUGAGGUGCGCCAGGAUGCCGGCGGCGAAGUAGCUCACCUCCACCUCGGGGCUGUGCAGCAGAUUCCUGAUGUGGUCCAGGAAGGUGUGGACCAUCAGCUCGCAAUGCAGCUCGCCUACCUCAGCUAUGUUGUUCUAGUGCAGGACAAGGUA
Molecule: long non-coding RNA, 364 nt
Organism: Syngnathus acus (greater pipefish)
Lineage: Eukaryota; Metazoa; Chordata; Actinopteri; Syngnathiformes; Syngnathidae
Exons: 2
Source: RefSeq, a predicted model, not a curated record